This 241-nucleotide ribosomal RNA is filed under the name uncultured Methanolinea sp. RNAcentral's name for it is "partial 16S ribosomal RNA". It matches the Rfam family "Archaeal small subunit ribosomal RNA", at positions 1098 to 1338 of the family's 1478-position model. Lineage: Archaea; Methanobacteriati; Methanobacteriota; Methanomicrobia; Methanomicrobiales; Methanoregulaceae. The record is from RNAcentral.
GUUGGGACCGCCUCUGCUAAAGAGGAGGAAGGAAUGGGCAACGGUAGGUCAGCAUGCCCCGAAUUAUCCGGGCUACACGCGGGCUACAAUGGUCAGGACAAUGGGUAUCGACACCGAGAGGUGGAGGCAAUCUCCUAAACCUGUCCUUAGUUCGGAUUGUGGGCUGCAACUCGCCCACAUGAAGCUGGAAUCCGUAGUAAUCGCGUUUCAAAAUAGCGCGGUGAAUAUGUCCCUGCUCCUU